This 298-nucleotide ribosomal RNA is filed under the name uncultured bacterium. RNAcentral describes it as "partial 16S ribosomal RNA". It matches the Rfam family "Bacterial small subunit ribosomal RNA", at positions 336 to 631 of the family's 1533-position model. The record is from RNAcentral.
CUCCUACGGGGGGCAGCAGUGAGGAAUAUUGGUCGAUGGGCGGAAGCCUGAACCAGCCAAGUCGCGUGAGGGAAUAAGGCCCUACGGGUCGUAAACCUCUUUUGCCGGGGAGCAAGCGCGGGGACGUGUCCCGGCCCGGAGAGUACCCGGAGAAAAAGCAUCGGCUAACUCCGUGCCAGCAGCCGCGGCAAUACGGAGGAUGCGAGCGUUAUCCGGAUUUAUUGGGUUUAAAGGGUGCGUAGGCGGGCUUUUAAUUUAGCGGUAAAAAUUCUGGGCCCAACCCCGUCCGGUCGUUGAA